AGCUUUGGUUAAAUGAAGAGACUUAAAUGAGGGUUGAGAGUCCAUUUGAUGCAGCUCGCAUUGAGGACCAGCUCUCUCAACCAAGAAGAUCGGCCCAUAUUAAAGCUCAAUGAAACCGAGAAGCCGUAUCGACCAUCCUUGGAGAGUUGCAGUCAUCGAUCUAGAAAAAUCGGUGCCCCCUCAACUUCCUUGGAGGCCUAGGUGAGCAACUAACGGAGUUUCUAUCUUUUCCUUUUCUGUUCGUUAUUUCCAACCCAAUUUCGACCAUCCUACAGUGCUUAUUUCAGAAAACGCAAAACAUAUAAAGUGUAGAUCCAGAAGUCUUUGUUCAUUUGGCUUUGGAAUCAGGUUGAUCCGAUCUAUAUCAACAAAGAUACGACUGUUCUAUUGAGCCUGCUCAGUGUUGAAAUUUCUGUUCGCCCUGUUUUCCCGUGUGCAAGUCACUCUCCCGAUCCUAUUGUUUGAGAAAGCCUACCCUUGGCUUGCAUCAUUAUUGCUCAAAAGCCAUUGAUUAUGAUGAUGAAAAAACUUCGAACACUACCUAUCGAAUUAUCUUAUUCGUCAACCAUGUGUGCCAAAUCUUUCAUACAAGUUGUAUUUGAGAACUACUUUCAUGUUAUCGAAGCACAAGAGCCAUGGUCAAGUUCAAUCAAACUCUUGUAGACCCUCAUUUCACAGCUUGUCCAGCCCAUCGAGAACAUUACAGGCCUAUUUGGUUCUUGAGAUAGUUUCAUUCGAUGAAACUGUGUCGUAGGUAGUAUUUUGAAAGCUCACAUGGAUGCAGAAUCUUGUGUGAUACGGCAAGAUAAAAUCAUUUUGCCAAAUCUUGGUCUUAAGAAUCCAAGAUCAAAAAUGUUAUGCAAUUGACAUAGCAUGUCCUUAGUGACUAACACUAAACUCCUGAUGGCCCAAGUAUUGAUGGGGCAAUUGCUGCAUACCCAAAUGCAUUAGACCCCAUGCAUGCAAUAUGUCGGAUAAUUUGAGUCUCACUAGGAAUUCGUAAGAUCCAAGAAAUCUUGUUUACUGGAUCUAUAUUUUCUGGCUGCGGCCAAUAAUUUUCUGUACCAGUGGCCCCCGUAUGCCCUUUUGAGUUUGCUCCCGCACUAUCAUGGUUGAGAUUUCGUGGUUUAAGCUUCACAAUGAACCUCAAAAGUUACUGUCCUUCCUUGUUCAAAGGUGCGUGAUGAAUCGAAUUUAUCGCGCUUGUGAUGGGAAACGGUCAGACACUUGAAGAGUCCCAAACAAUCCAUUCCUCACGAAACAAAAUUGUAAUGAAAAAGAUCUUUGGGUGAAAACAAUUGAAAACGUCCCAUUUAUUAUUUUCACUCUUUCCACGAGGACCCGGCCGAAAUCAGAACAUGGUUUUGACAAAAAUGAAACUAUAGUUCUCGGUUAGAAAACAUGUUUUUUUUUUCUUUUCUAAUCAAACACAAUAAUUACGAAUAUACACAAGUAAAAACUAAAAUUAUUCUCAUUUUCAUAGGCAUAUUUUGAGAAAUCACGUGCGGUCUAUAUAGAAAAUUAAAGCAGUGACUGAGGUUGAAUCUGCCUUGAUCUUAGCUAUUAGGCCUUAAUGGAACUUAUUACAAAAAACCCAUUGUCCGCUUGAACCAAAGGUUAUAGAUGCUAUAACAAAACUUCGUAAGAAAAUAACUAGAGAAAUCUAUGAAGAUCGAAUUAGGUCUCAAGAUAAAAAUCGGUCUACCAACCACAAGAAAAGUGGAAAUGAAAGCAAUGUAGUUUCGAGUGAAUGGAUACUCCAAGAUAGAACAAGAAAAGUUGAAUCCGAUUAAUUCAACUUCUAUGACUUUGGAAUAAUUAGAAAAUUACAAAAAACGAAAUUAUUCAUUUUGAGCAACAAAGUUCGAUUUAAUCAAAUUUGACAACAGGUUUUCUAACAAGUCUUGCAAGGAGCUUUUGGAACUCUUAAUAGUUGGUUGAAUAACGAGUUACAUUACUUGCCCUGCCCUCGACUGUCUGGCGGGAUCUGGGUGCACGCACCAUAGCCCCACCAUCAUCAGGCACUUCAUCUCCUCCUAUGGGAACUCCGAGUGCAACACCUCGUCAACCGCGCGCCGAGGACGUUGCUAGCAAGGUAGAGUUGCUAGACCCACUCGUGUAGUGAGACCUGGAUCUCUGUUCUCAUAGCUCCUCCGGCCAUGACACCAAAGCUAAACAUGUCGGACUCCGGGGUGGCCUUCCCUCCAAUAAAGUAUUUUGGCGCUAGAUACCCGCAAGUCCCAACCACGUCUGCUGUCUGAGUCCUGAAUCGGGGGUCGACAAGCUUGGCCACUCCAAAGUCGGCAAGCUUGGUGCUGAAGUUGGAGUCGAGUAGUACAUGGGCUGCCUUUAUGUCCUGGUGGAGCACAUAUUGCUCGAGAUCAUCCUCAUAGCUCCUCUGGCCAUCAUGCCGAAGCUGAACAUGUUGGACUCCGUGGUGGCCUUUGUGGGAUGCAAAACGUGCAAUCCCAAGAUCUUCAUAACCAAAACAAGAGCACAAAUGAUUGAGUAAAAAGAUUAACGCACCUAUUUUGAAAUCUAUCGUUCUUGAUGAGGAAGUAGAAAAAUGAUGAUCCACUCGCUAGUCAUUCUCCUCUAUUGUCCUUUGUAUUACUGACUUAAUGAGCUGGUCCCCUCACCCUUUAGCGCUAGGUAAACGCUCCUUAUGUGAGGAUCUUUGUAAGAAUUAGGGUUAGAUGAGAGAUUUGAGCACUAUUUAUAGAAUUUUCAACUAGGUCCUCUCAUUAUAAGCUAGGCUCAACUCGGCCCACAUUAGCCAGUCCCAUAUUAGACUAAUAAAGAAACAUUUUAUUUCACUUUAGACCAACCAACCCCGUAAAAUGGUAAAUUACAAUAUCAAUUUAUGUAGCCUACAUCUUGAAAACUCUUACAUUCUCUCACUUGGGCUAUAUUAAUUGAAAUUGUACUGUAUGUGCGCAUAUUAGUUUAGAAAUAAUUAUUAAUAAUCAAUUCCAUCCCAUAAAGUUUUUUUUUUUUUUUUGGUGACCCAGGGAACCCCUGCACAGCCGACAGCUGUGAAGUAAACAUUGGGAAGGCACGUAGGAAACCACCACCAACGCACCCCGGGUAAGUCGCCAAAUGAUCCGUCAGCCUCCUUGCAACUUGCGUUGCAGGGGCUUUGAACUCUAGACCUCCUACGUGGAAGUCUAGAGCCUACCCAACGGAGCCACCGCGACGGGUGGUUCCAUCCCAUAAAGUUUCAAACACCAAAUCAUGACAGUAAUUGCAUGUAUACACAUAGAGCCUUCCAUGAUCAUGAGUGCUUUUAACUUUAUUGAUAUGGAUUCAAUAUGGUAGUAUAGCAAAUGGAUAAUACCUCUCACAGAGAAAUCCCAUUUGUCAAUCAAUGUUCUCUUACAUUAAGUGUCACAAAAAACUUGUGCCACUAGAUAAUGUCUUUAUGGUUCCAAUGAACUCACACAUGCCUUAUUUUUAUGGUUAACAUUUCUUUAUAUAUAACAAGACAUAUGCAUAAGGCUAAUAACCGGAUGCCCCUAGCUUUCACUCAAGGUUUAUACAAUACAUUGAGACUUUUAUUAAUAUGUAUUUAACAUAAUAACAACACAUUAAAAAAUAUUACUAAAUGUAACAAACACAAAUGUAAACUUUAUUGCAGUAAAACCGAAAGAGCUCCCACUAAACAACAAUAUCUCAUGAUGCUUUUAAGCUCAUGUUAAUGACAUGUUGCUCAAACACACAAUGGCAUAGGCAUUUAGUUAGUGGAUCUGCAACCAUAUUAUCCGUGGAAAUAAGUUAUAUUAUAACGUCACAUUUUUUUACGUUUCUUUAUAGUAAAAAAUUUGACUACCAUAUAUUUAGACUCUUUGAGAUGUCUAUCGUUAAUAAAAAUACUAUAAAUUUAUUGUCUCAAUACAACUGUAUGAGUGAAUCCAUAAAAUUAAAAAUGAUCAACUCCUUAAUGAGGUUUUGGAGCUUAAUAGCCUAAGUAGCAGCCUAAAAGAAUAUUACAAACUCUGCUUAUAUAGUAGGAGAUGACAUAGUGUUUUAUUUACUGCAUUUCCCGCUAACAUAAAUAUGUAUUAUGUUAUUGGUCUUGUAUCAUCCUAAUAGCUAGCAAAGUUUUUUACAUCUAAAUAUCCUGCUAGCUACAAGACUUGAACAUCUAUGUAAAUCAUCAUACAUUAUACUUUUAAGUACACUGACACAUGGUAUACCCUUUAACUAGAUUUUCUCAAUAUCUUAAUAAAGACAAUGUAAUAGAUUCAGUUCAUUGCCCUUAAUGAUAAGAGCAAUUUCUAGCUUACAAUGAUGUAUAUUGAAUAUUUCCAAAAUACGAUCAACAAAUGUCAUCUAAGAUAAAUCCAAUAUAUAUGGCGAGGACAAUCUUUACGGACCUUAGUGCAAAGGACAAAAGAUGUAUCGAGAUCACUACUUGUAAGCAAAAUAUCAUGUAUAUAAAAUAUGAGAAAAAUAAAUUUUCUCCCAUUGAUCUUGCAGUAUAUAUAUUAAAUUACUUUGUUCCAAAUUAAACGAAAUAACAUCACUGAAACUUUAAUAAUAUUGUCUGAAAACUUAAAAUUAUGAAUAAUAAUUUUCAGUUUACACACAAGUUUACUUGAAUCAUUUGCUACAAAAUCCUCCGGUUACACUAUAUAGAUUUUGUUAUCGUGUCUAUUUAAAAAGAUAGUAUCUAUUUGGCGUAACUCCAUAUAAAAAAAGAGCUAUUAAUGUCAUGUUCACUUUAAAAGAAUUUUUAAAAAUACUAGAAAAAAAUAACUGUUAAUGUCAUGUUUAUUCUGAAAGAAAGGUUCUUGCUCACAGAAUUGUAGGUCACUACAAUAUCGAUCGCUUUCCCGCCGUGCAAUCGGGGAUCCUAGUGGUCAUAACAAGCGAAGAGAGCUGGUUCUUAUUGAUUCCUAUGUGAUUCAAUGGGGGAUCGAACUCUGGGUUCAUGUAAGCGUCAAACUCGACCAUGACGAUCUGGUUUCGAGGCCCGUCAUUAGCUGUGCUACCAUUGAACAAUCCGAGGAAUUGUCUGGCCAAGUUGGGCGGGAUUGAGAUCCCAACAAGAGCGAGGAAGAAGGCCAUGCCAUCGCUGUACUGAUUAGAGCCAUCAAUCUCGAUGGUGAACAAGAAGCGGGUCGAGAAGUUUGCUUGGAGCCCCGUGACAGGGUCCCAUAUGCGGACAGGCUUGGCGUACUGAAUCCACCCAACCUGGAAGGGCUGCGAAGGAUGGAGGGGGGGUGAUAUUGACAUAUCCAUACGUGGCCUUCACAACUCCCUCGUACAAUAUGUCCCUCCUAUCCGUGUCGAAGCUGCUUAUGUUAAAGUAGAGAGGAGCGACAGAGGGGAACAAAGGACAACAUACAAGGCAGGACUGUUGGAGAUACAAUUGAAGAUUGUGAUCGUGGAUCGAUCCUAAUUGUGGACUGAUUGAUUUAGUGAAUAUGUGAUAGUUUUAGUAAAUAGGAAAUUUAAAAUUCUUUGUCUAUUAUUUCCUUUUCUUCUCUUUCAUUCUUGCACUAUAAAUAUAUUAAUAUACUUGUAUACAAAUCAAUGAAUAUACAGAGAAUUUCCUCCCUUUUUCUUGCAUUUCCUGUCAAGGACAAGAACAAUUGAGCGCGAAUGCAGGCGCGCAACGACAGAGAAUGGGGAGUCAUGGGCGGCAUUCUUAACCCCGGCUUUGGUCAGAAUCGGAUCUGUUACAUUAGGGUGGUCGGAAUCGGAUCUGUUACAUUAGGGUGCUUUAUAACGAACCCAAGGGUACCCAAUGGCAGACCAAACAGAGCAAGCAAUCGUUGAUCAAGCAGCUUCUUCGAAGGUUCCUUGUUUUCUGCUAAAGUCGCUGGAAUGCAUUAGUCCCAAGGAGGGACGGUCUUGUAUAGUGGGUACAACUGCUAUCUUCCAAACAAGAAAUGCCAACAUGGUGUGGCUAUAAUAGAUUGUUCCUGUCAUUUCCCAACCGGGGGAAAAGCUGCGGGUUUUCUAGAUUGACUUGCUUUCGAGGAUAUGAAGAGAGCCGAGAGAGCUGACUAGCGAUGAAACUUUUGCAUUCACCGUGAGGAAGCUUGUAUGGUUCACCUCUUUUACAGACAUCGUCAGACCACUCGAUGUCUCUUGUCCAAAUUUGUACAGGAAAGGAGUCCGAGCUUUGGUUAGAUGAAUAGCAAUUUGCAGAGACUUGAAAUCUGGAAGGAGGACGCACCAUAUAAAGUUGGGUCUGUCAAAAAGCUUGUCGAGCAAUGUCGUCCUCUUGAGCAUUUUGGUUUUAAAUUUCGACAAAGCUCAUCUUGCAACAUGCCAAUUCGCUUUAGGAAUAAUCCACUCUAAUCAUCAGUUUUUUUUCUCUAUUGGCAUCCAAUCUAAUUACCUUAUUCUUCAAAUAUGUGCAUGAAAUCUUUCCUCCAAUGCUGUAGUUUGAGAAUGCCUUUAAUUCAAUGGGAGCACACUAGACAUGAUCAAGUUCGAUCAACUUACUCUUUUUGAUCAUCAUUUCCCAGCUUGCCCAGCCCAUCAUCGAGAACAUUACAGGCCUUUUUGGAUCUUGAGAUUUUUAAGUUUCGUUCAAUGGAAAUGUGUGGUUGGUAUUACUUUGAAAAUUAACAUUGAUGCGGAAUUUUUGUGAUAGGGCAAGAUGAAGUGCACUUCGCAAAAUUUUUAUUUGAAGAAUGCAAUAUUGAUGGGACAAUUGUUGCUUAUAGGACAGAUUAGACUUAGUGCAUGUGAUCGUUGGAUUACGUGGGUCUCACUUGGAGUUUGUAUGAUCAAAUGAAUCUCAUUGUGCUGACGUAUAAGCUGCAGCCGAUAAUUUUCUAUACUGAUGGCCCUGGAAGCCCUUUUAAGUUCGGUCCUUCACUAAUUAUGUUGCGACUUUCAUUGUUGACCUCAAAAGCUAUUGAAGUGAUAUAUAUCUUUUUUCUUGUCCAAAGGUUCCAGAUGAAAAGAAUCUGUCACAUGUCACGGUUGUUAUUGUUGGAGAAAUCUUUCCAGAAUGGUUGUUAUUGUUGGAGAAAUCUUUCCAGAAUAUUUUGAAGCUGACAAAACGUUUCUAUCAGUCUAGUCUGAAUAAGUAUAGACCUUCUGUUUAAAGUCUGAAGACUUUCAGAUCACCAGACUCAAGACUCAAGACUAUUUUCAUUGACAGUUUUUCUAAUCCAGUGACGAAGUGCCGAAGUAUUUGGCUGAGGAUUUAGUCCUAUCCUCUGGAGAAGAUCUCUUGGCUGGAUAAAUAUAACGGAUUCUUUUAUUCGUAAUCAAGAUUGUUUGAAGAUCCGAUGGUCGACGAAAUAUUCUUGGAAGGUUCUAUUCUUGGAAACCAAGAUCUUGAUUGUAUGGGCGAACAGGAUUGAUGGGCUAUCGUCAGGUUCCUUUAAUAGCUCGAAUGAUCUUCUUAAUUGAUUCCGUCCAACGGGUAGAUUGGAGGAAUUCUUUUGGUAAGUGCCAACGGGUAUGAUGGCAUAAAGGAGUAUAAAAGGAAGACAUUCUAGUUGCUUUAGUGCAUGAUAGAGAAAUUCCAGAGUCUAAGCACCUUGAUUAUUAGUCGAUACAUUUUGAGCGAAAUUGUAUACACAAAGAGUGUCUAUACUUAGAGAUACCUUGAGCGAGUGUGGUAGAUCAUCUACACCGAGAAAUCAAGAGAGAACAACGCUGUAACAUCUCUUUGUUCAUAGUGGAAUCCAGCCAAUAGGCUGUCAGUGCAGAAGAGUGGACGUAGGCUUGAAAUAAGCCGAACCACUAUAAACCGCGUGUUCAAUUUUCUCUUCUCUCAAUCUUACUUUGAUUAUUGUUUGUCUCAAAUUUAUCAACUGUCUAGUAUUGUGCAAUAAUUGAGAAAAAUCCUUUAUAUACCUAUUCACCCCUCUAGGUACUUAUACUAGCUAUAUCAGUUAUGAAUAUAAUUUAGGGUUGAUGAGUCUUCAACAUUCUAUUUCUGACCAAAAUAAUACUCAAAAGUUUUUAGAGUGAAAACAACUUAAAACAUUGCUUUUAUGAUUUUCGCUCUUUUUUAUGUGGACCCCACCGAAAUCAAAACAUGGUUUUGACAAGAAUGAAACUGCGUUUCUCAGUAAGAAAACGUGAUUUUUUUCUCUCCAACCUAAUAAUUUAAGAAUAUACAAAAGUAAAAGCAAAAAGUUAUACCCAUUUUCAUGGACAUAUUUUGAGAAAUCACAUGCGGUCUAUAUAAAAAAUUAAAACGGUAUCAAAUGUCGCAUUUGCCUUGACCUUAGCUAUCAUCAUGAAGUUACUACGAAAAACCCAUCUUAAAUAAAUCUCGUAGUCAACAAAGGCCUGAACUAAUCUCAUGAAUCAAAUAAGACAAAAAUCAAGACCCAGGCAGAUGGCCUGAAAAAACAAAUCGUUUGUAACUUGGUCAACUGGAGAAUCGAACCUACCACAGCAUAUUCCAAUUCCUUGACCUCUUUCUAAGUCAUCCCCACGGGUUUUACCUUUAAAAGAGUAAAUUUCGUGGAUGAAAACUAGUGUAAUUCAUGUAGCACUGCUCAAAAUAACAAAGUAGUAAAACAACCGGCCUUGGCGAAAUGUCCUUUCCCUACGCGCCCAGAAUAUUUAAUUAGCAAGAAAGCUCUCCCAUAAUUUCUCAUCUUCUCUAUAUUGUAAACUCUGUUGACAUUCUACCGAUUGCGAAUCAAUACAUUACAAUGCAAUUGUUUCCCGUGAAAGAACCGAGCAACAUUGAAGCAAACGUUAUAAAACUGCAAAAUGAUGUUGUGAUGCUCCCAAUACGUCACAGUUAAUGCAUUUGCUAAAGUCUUUUCACUUUUUUAAGCAUGUAGAUUCAAAGGAUGUGACGCCCUUAGCAUGUCACGGCUAAAGCAGUUACUAAAGUUUUUUCACUUUUUAAGCAUGUAGAAGUCUGUACGAUUAAAGAACACCUAUCACAUAUAAAAUUACAAUGUCCUUUCCCUACACAUUGGGAAUAUUUAAUUAGCAAGGAAGCUCUCCCAUAAUUUCUCAUCUUCUUUAUACAUUGUAAACUCCGUUGACAUUCCACCGAUUGUGAAUCAAUACACUACAAUGCAAUUGUUCCCAAGCAACAUCGAAGCAAACAUUAUAAAACUACAAGACAAUGUUGUGAUGCCCCUAGUACGUCACGGCUAACGCAUUUACUAAAGUCUUUUCACCUUUUUAAGCAAGCAGAAGCCUAUACAGUCAAACAACACCCAUGACAUAUAAAAAUUCAAAGGAUGUGAUGCCUCGGCACGUCACAGCUAAUGCAUUUACUAAAGUCUUUUCACUUUUUAAGCAUAUAGAAGUGUGUACAAUUAAAGAACAUCCAGGACAUAUAAAAUUACAGUUUCCUUUCCCUACACGCCCAAAAUAUUUAAUUAGCAAGGAAGCUCUCCCACAAUUUCUCAUCUUCUCUCUAUCUUGUAAACACCAUUGACAUCCCACUGAUUGUGAAUCAAUACAUUACAAUGCAAUUGUUCCCAAGCAACAUCGAAGCAGACAUUAUAAAACUGCAAGACGAUGUUGUGACUCCCCUAGUAUGUCGCGGCCGACGCAUUUACUGAAGUAUUUUCACUUUUUUAAGCAUGCAAAAAAGUAUAUGGUUAAACAAUAUCCGAGACAUAUAAAAAUUCAAAGGAUGUGAUGCUCCCAGCACGUCACGGCUAACUUACUUACUAAAUUUUUUUCACUUUUUAAGCAGGCAGAAACGUGUAUGGUUAAAGAAUACCCAAGACAUAUAAAAUUACAAUGUCCUUUUCCUACAUGCCAGAAUAUUUACUUAGAAAGGAAACUCUCCCACAAUUUCUCCUCUUCUCUCUAUAUUGUAAACUCCGUUGACAUUCUACCGAUUGUGAAUCAAUACAUUACAAAGGCGUCACUUGGGCGUGUCCCAUUACUGGACCGUCCAUUACCCUGAGGCUUGACUCUUGAGCUAAUUUCUUGUACCAUCACUUGCGCGCGUCAUAUUGCUGUACCAUCCAAUCCAAGACGGUAUGACUAGAAUCUAUUGCUGCUGUUAUUUGUCAAAUGGGGGAAAAUUUGCAGGUGUUCUAGAGAGCCGCGUAUGAAGACCGUGGAGAUGGAAACUGACCAAUCGAUCUCCCGAGUUGACUGGCUUUCGAUAACAUAACGGGAGCGAGCGGGCGACCCCGGAUCGGUGUUUUUGCAUUCGCCAGGAGAGCUUCUGCGGUUCACCUCUUUAACAGAAAUGAUCAGACCCGGUCAACGUGUCUGUCUACAAGUGUGUAGGAAAGGAGCGCAUGCUAUUGUUAGAUGAGCUGCGAUUUGCAGGGACGUGAAGAGCGGUUGAGAGUAUAUUGCUUCGAAGCCACUGAUUAUGACGAACACUACGAACCCAAAAAACAAAAUAAGAGCCACAGAUAGUUUUUUAGCUGCAUCAUCAUCAUACCAUGUCACCGUGCCUGUCGUCAAUGCCAUGUCAUCAUGUGUGCCACGCCAUCACCAUGUCAUCGAAAUAUGCCAUGUCAUUGCUUGCAUGUCAUUGAGUGAUUGUAUGUUAGGUUCAUAAAAUUGUACGUCAUGCUGGAAUAGUUCCAUAACAAUUUUACCACUCAUUGGAAUUAAUUACCGCAAGCCAAGUUGGAAUAGACAUACUUAGUGCGUCGUCGUGUUUAGAGUACUUGGAUUACAUACAUUACAUACAUUACAUUUUAGCGUUAGCUUUCACUAGAUAAGAGAAAACCUUAAAAAGGAUUUGAGUGGAAUUGUCUGUCAAUUAGAAAUCAUAUUUAUGUUAAGAAUGUGAUUUUCUAAUAAAUGUUACAGUUGCUUAUGUUACUUCAAGGUAAGUAAAUCUAUUCCUUACCCUUGCAAUCUGUUCAUCACUUUGAGUAUAGGGUGUUUUAUUAACGGUUGUGCACACGCAUGAUUACCUCACAUCUUAGUGAAAAUGUUUAAAUUUAAUCCAAUGCCCUUGCCAAAUAUUUUUUGAACAAAAGAGGAAGGUACCAAAAGGGUAUUGGAGUAAUCAAGCAUAAUCAAUUCCUUGUUGCCCUCGCGAUCUUGAGUCAGGCUUUCGGCAUCCGCUUAUACUCCAAAUCGACCUAAAUGAAAGUCCUGCUCACUGUGGUGAAUUCGUAGUGUCCAGUGUACUCUUGCAUGCAGCUUUCCGUCUCAUUGAAGUGAGAACCUCCAACUUUUUCAUCUGUAUUCUCUCCGACGUGAUGAACGCGCUUGCUUCUUUAUAUCAGAAAUUUGAAGAGAGAUAAAGGUAAUUUAACGGAAAAUUUUAUUUUCAUAGUGUUCUGUUUAUGCCGAUGUAAGCAAUGUAUGUUAAGCGAUACCAAGUCCCCCGUGAUGCUCUCAAUUCCAAACAACAAAUUUGGGCAAGGCAAACGAGAUGGUAACCGAACUACAGUUGAUGCAGCAGAAUGUGCAGAUUUUAGUCAGCAUGUGUUGCCGUAUGACUUUAGGAGACAGGAUUUGUCUAGCUUCCUAAACACAGAUUCUUGAAUAGGAGGAGCAGAUGGAGAUUCCAGUAUUCCUAAUUGCGAAGCCGAUGGCCGGUGUGAAACUGGACUGUUGAACGCGUCGUGCGGCAGCUCGGGGACUGAGUCCUCCAGCUGGAGGAACCUGAUCACUUGCCCCGCCUUUGGCCUUCUCACGGGGUCGGGGUGCACGCACCACAACCCCACCCUCAUCAGGCACUCCAUUUCCUCCCUCCGGAACCCUGAGCCCAAGGCCUCAUCGGCCGCGCCGAGGAUGUUGCUGGCGAGGUAGAGUUCCCAGACCCACUUGUGCAACGCGACCCAGACCUCUCCGUCCUCAUAGCUCCUCCGGCCGCACGCAAUCUCCAGGGCCACCACGCCGAAGCUGAACAUGUCGGACUCCUUCGUGGCCUUCCCACUAAUGAAGUACUCUGGCGCCAGGUACCCGCAAGUCCCAACCACGUCUGUUGUCUGAGACCUGAACCUGGGGUCAAUGAGCUUGGCCACUCCGAAGUCGCCGAGCCUGGUUGUGAAGCUGGUGUCGAGCAGCACGUUGGCUGCCUUUAUGUCCCGGUGGAGAACCCAUUUCUCGAGCUCCUCGUGGAGGUAGUUAAGGGCGGAUGCCAGGCCGAGCGCCACGCCGUAUCGCACAGCCCACGGCAGGCUUCUCCGGGGCCCAAAGAGGUGGUGGUCGAGGCUGCCAUUGGGCAUGUACUCGUAGACGAGCAAGAACUCACCUUCCUCUUGACACCACCCAACAAACGGCACCAGGUUUCUGUGUAUUGUUCGGCUUAUGAUCUUCACCUCGUUGACAAAGACCUUCUCGGAGUGUCGGGACUCCGCAAAGAUCCUUUUGACGGCGACCAGGCGGUUCGAAUGGCUCAAGAACCCUUUAUAGACUUGGGCAGACCCGCCUCGGCCCAGCCUUCUAUCGUCUGCGAAGCCAUUGGUCGCCGCGAGCAACUCCUGAUAAGUGAACUUCGUAGGCAAUGGGCCAAUCUCUUUAUCUAUGUCGGUAAGGGCGCUAUAACCUUGCUUUUCCCUCCUCUUGACGGCGAAAAAGCAAGAACUUGCGGAGAUCACCAGUAAAAAACAUGUCGUGGGAACAACGACCAGUAUCCAUAACCGGCGAGGUUUAUCUACGUCGUCCAAAUCCGAAGUGAACUCCCAUGAAUUGACGCUAUGUCUCUCUGGAUGGGUGCCGAAAGAAGCUGAGAACCCGAUCGCUGCAGAUUCAGGAAGGACACUUGCCAGAUCAACAAGGUAAGAAAGUGAUUGAUGGGCCUUAGAGUGGGAAAGCGGUUUGCCGUCGAACGACCAGAACACGCUGAGGUUCUUGCUCACAGAAUUGUAGGUCACGUUAACAUUGACCGCUUUCCCGCUGUGCAAUCCGGGAUCCCAGCGGGCAUGAACGAGCGACGACAGGCAAUUCAGAUUGAUUCCUAUGUGAUGCACUGGGGGAUCAUACUCACAGUUCACAUAGGUGUCGAACUCGACCAUGACAAUCUGGUUCCGAGGCCCUUCAUUAGCCGUGCUACCGUUGAACAAUCCCAAGAAUCCGCCAGCCGAGUUGGGCGGGAUCGAGAUCCCCACGGGAGCGAGGAAGAAGGCGAUGCCAUCACUGUACCGAGCAGAGCCGUCAGUCUCGAUGGUGAACGAGAAACGGGUUGAGAAGUUCGCUUGGCGCCUCGUGACAGGAUCCCUUAUGCGGACAGGCUUGGCGUACUUAAUCCGCCCCACCUGGUAGCUAUGCGUAGGAUGGAGGGAGUUGAGAUCGACAUGUCCAUACGUGGCCUCCGAAACUCCCUCGUGCAAUAUGUCCCUACUAUCCGUGUCGAAGCUGCUUAUGUUGAAGUAGAGAGGGGCAACACAGGUUAUCAAAGGACAGCAGACAAGGCAGAACAAGAACAAGCGAGCUUGCAAAGAAAGAGAACGGGGAGUCGCGUGCGGCAUACUUAAGACGAGCUUUGGUGGGAAUUGGAUCACCGACACUGCGAGAUCUAUAUGUUACAUUAGGGAGCUUUAAAAUGAACCCGAGCGUACCAAUGGCUUACCGGACACGGCGAGCAAUCAUAGAUCAAGCAGCUUCUAUGAUAGUUCCUUAUUUUCUGCUAAAGUCAGAUGGAAUAGGUUAUUAAACUUCUGGUGGGUACCAUUGCUAUCUUCCGAACACGAAAUGUCAACACGGUUUUCCCUAUCGCUCCAGCUAUUGCGCAAUUGGUGGAAAAAAUUGCGAGUGUUUGGAAGAGCCUUGGACAAAGACCAUGGACCAUGGAGAUGGAAACUGACCGAUCGAUAUUGACUGGGUGCCGGUGAUAUGAAGCUAGAGAACGAGCCAGCUGGCUGCAGAUCAAAGAUUUGAAUUUGCUGGGGGAGCUUGUGUGGUUCACCAUUUUUACAGACAUUAUCAGACCACUCAAUGUCUCUGUCCACAAUUGUGGAGGAAAGGAGAGCAAGCUUUGGUUAAAUGAAGAGACUUAAAUGAGGGUUGAGAGUCCAUUGCUCGAAAGCCAUUGAUUAUGACGAUGAAAAAACUUUUUUCGAACACUACCUAUCGAAUUAUCUUAUUCGUCAACUAUGAGUGCCAAAUCUUUCCUACAAGUUGUAUUUGAGAACUACUUUCACGUUAUCGAAGCACAAGAGCCAUGGUCAAGUUCAAUCAAACUCUUGUAGACCCUCAUUUCACAGCUUGCCCAGCCCAUCAAGAACAUUACAGGCCUAUUUGGUUCGUAAGAUAGUUUCAUUCGAUGAAACUGUAUCGUAGGUAGUAUUUUGAUAGUUCACAUGGAUGCAGAAUCUUGUGUGAUUCGGCAAGAUAAAAACAUUUUGCAAAAUCUUGGUCUAAAGAAUCC
This 14251-nucleotide long non-coding RNA is filed under the name Eucalyptus grandis. RNAcentral's name for it is "long non-coding RNA (EGRA_LNC004503)". Lineage: Eukaryota; Viridiplantae; Streptophyta; Magnoliopsida; Myrtales; Myrtaceae. The record is from RNAcentral.